This 369-nucleotide ribosomal RNA is filed under the name uncultured organism. Its description in RNAcentral is "partial 16S ribosomal RNA". It matches the Rfam family "Bacterial small subunit ribosomal RNA", at positions 527 to 896 of the family's 1533-position model. The record is from RNAcentral.
GUAGGGUCCAAGCGUUAAUCGGAAUUACUGGGCGUAAAGCGUGCGCAGGCGGUUGUGCAAGACCGAUGUGAAAUCCCCGGGCUUAACCUGGGAAUUGCAUUGGUGACUGCACGGCUAGAGUGUGUCAGAGGGGGGUAGAAUUCCACGUGUAGCAGUGAAAUGCGUAGAGAUGUGGAGGAAUACCGAUGGCGAAGGCAGCCCCCUGGGAUAACACUGACGCUCAUGCACGAAAGCGUGGGGAGCAAACAGGAUUAGAUACCCUGGUAGUCCACGCCCCUAAACGAUGUCAACUAGUUGUUGGGGAUUCAUUUCCUUAGUAACGUAGCUAACGCGUGAAGUUGACCGCCUGGGAGUACGGUCGCAAGAUUA